RNAcentral lists this ribosomal RNA (467 nucleotides) under uncultured bacterium. Its description in RNAcentral is "partial 16S ribosomal RNA". It matches the Rfam family "Bacterial small subunit ribosomal RNA", at positions 29 to 507 of the family's 1533-position model. The record is from RNAcentral.
AGUGAACGCUGGCGGUAGGCCUAACACAUGCAAGUCGAACGGCAGCACAGUAAGAGCUUGCUCUUACGGGUGGCGAGUGGCGGACGGGUGAGGAAUACAUCGGAAUCUACUUUUUCGUGGGGGAUAACGUAGGGAAACUUACGCUAAUACCGCAUACGACCUACGGGUGAAAGCAGGGGAUCUUCGGACCUUGCGCGAUUGAAUGAGCCGAUGUCGGAUUAGCUAGUUGGCGGGGUAAAGGGCCACCAAGGCGACGAUCCGUAGCUGGUCUGAGAGGAUGAGCACCAACCCUCGACGGGGGGCACGGGUGGGAAUUCUUCGAGAGGGGGCGGAGGCCUAUCCUGGCCAAUCCGCGGGGGCGAAAAAGGCCUUCGGCGUGUAAACCCUUUUUGUGGGAAAAAAAAAACGGCAGUUUAACCCCCCUGUUUUUGACCGUACCCAAAGAAUAAGCCCCGGCUAACUUCGUG